Small nucleolar RNA from Caenorhabditis elegans, 97 nucleotides. Lineage: Eukaryota; Metazoa; Nematoda; Chromadorea; Rhabditida; Rhabditidae. The record is from Ensembl.
UUCUAACAUUUCACUCUCCCAUUCUUUCUCUUUCAGGUUUUCAGAAAUUUCAGAUGGGGUCGGUCAAGGUCAAAGUAGAUGUUACCCAGACGAUUUU